RNAcentral lists this non-coding RNA (64 nucleotides) under unclassified sequences. The record is from RNAcentral.
GCAAAUGUGGUGAUUUGAGCCAGUCGGCUUGCGACCACACAAAAAAAUCGCUAAAAAAGGCUGG